AAAAAUUUAGUUAAAAAAUAACAUUAACUUGUCAAGUUAAAAUCAUUAGCCGCCAGCCUAAUAAUUUUUA
RNAcentral lists this transfer RNA (70 nucleotides) under Priotyrannus closteroides. RNAcentral describes it as "tRNA-Asp". The record is from RNAcentral. Lineage: Eukaryota; Metazoa; Arthropoda; Insecta; Coleoptera; Cerambycidae.